RNAcentral lists this ribosomal RNA (426 nucleotides) under uncultured bacterium. Its description in RNAcentral is "partial 16S ribosomal RNA". It matches the Rfam family "Bacterial small subunit ribosomal RNA", at positions 355 to 774 of the family's 1533-position model. The record is from RNAcentral.
UGGGGAAUAUUGGACAAUGGGCGAAAGCCUGAUCCAGCCAUGCCGCGUGUGUGAAGAAGGUCUUCGGAUUGUAAAGCACUUUAAGUUGGGAGGAAGGGCAUUAACCUAAUACGUUAGUGUUUUGACGUUACCGACAGAAUAAGCACCGGCUAACUCUGUGCCAGCAGCCGGGUAAUACAGAGGGUGCAAGCGUUAAUCGGAAUUACUGGGCGUAAAGCGCGCGUAGGUGGUUUGUUAAGUUGGAUGUGAAAGCCCCGGGCUCAACCUGGGAACUGCAUCCAAAACUGGCAAGCUAGAGUACGGUAGAGGGUGGUGGAAUUUCCUGUGUAGCGGUGAAAUGCGUAGAUAUAGGAAGGAACACCAGUGGCGAAGGCGACCACCUGGACUGAUACUGACACUGAGGUGCGAAAGCGUGGGGAGCAAACA